This 1336-nucleotide ribosomal RNA is filed under the name Vibrio neocaledonicus. RNAcentral's name for it is "bacterial SSU rRNA". It matches the Rfam family "Bacterial small subunit ribosomal RNA", at positions 78 to 1413 of the family's 1533-position model. Lineage: Bacteria; Pseudomonadati; Pseudomonadota; Gammaproteobacteria; Vibrionales; Vibrionaceae. The record is from RNAcentral.
GAUAACGGCGUCGAGCGGCGGACGGGUGAGUAAUGCCUAGGAAAUUGCCCUGAUGUGGGGGAUAACCAUUGGAAACGAUGGCUAAUACCGCAUGAUGCCUACGGGCCAAAGAGGGGGACCUUCGGGCCUCUCGCGUCAGGAUAUGCCUAGGUGGGAUUAGCUAGUUGGUGAGGUAAGGGCUCACCAAGGCGACGAUCCCUAGCUGGUCUGAGAGGAUGAUCAGCCACACUGGAACUGAGACACGGUCCAGACUCCUACGGGAGGCAGCAGUGGGGAAUAUUGCACAAUGGGCGCAAGCCUGAUGCAGCCAUGCCGCGUGUGUGAAGAAGGCCUUCGGGUUGUAAAGCACUUUCAGUCGUGAGGAAGGUAGUGUAGUUAAUAGCUGCAUUAUUUGACGUUAGCGACAGAAGAAGCACCGGCUAACUCCGUGCCAGCAGCCGCGGUAAUACGGAGGGUGCGAGCGUUAAUCGGAAUUACUGGGCGUAAAGCGCAUGCAGGUGGUUUGUUAAGUCAGAUGUGAAAGCCCGGGGCUCAACCUCGGAAUAGCAUUUGAAACUGGCAGACUAGAGUACUGUAGAGGGGGGUAGAAUUUCAGGUGUAGCGGUGAAAUGCGUAGAGAUCUGAAGGAAUACCGGUGGCGAAGGCGGCCCCCUGGACAGAUACUGACACUCAGAUGCGAAAGCGUGGGGAGCAAACAGGAUUAGAUACCCUGGUAGUCCACGCCGUAAACGAUGUCUACUUGGAGGUUGUGGCCUUGAGCCGUGGCUUUCGGAGCUAACGCGUUAAGUAGACCGCCUGGGGAGUACGGUCGCAAGAUUAAAACUCAAAUGAAUUGACGGGGGCCCGCACAAGCGGUGGAGCAUGUGGUUUAAUUCGAUGCAACGCGAAGAACCUUACCUACUCUUGACAUCCAGAGAACUUUCCAGAGAUGGAUUGGUGCCUUCGGGAACUCUGAGACAGGUGCUGCAUGGCUGUCGUCAGCUCGUGUUGUGAAAUGUUGGGUUAAGUCCCGCAACGAGCGCAACCCUUAUCCUUGUUUGCCAGCGAGUAAUGUCGGGAACUCCAGGGAGACUGCCGGUGAUAAACCGGAGGAAGGUGGGGACGACGUCAAGUCAUCAUGGCCCUUACGAGUAGGGCUACACACGUGCUACAAUGGCGCAUACAGAGGGCGGCCAACUUGCGAAAGUGAGCGAAUCCCAAAAAGUGCGUCGUAGUCCGGAUUGGAGUCUGCAACUCGACUCCAUGAAGUCGGAAUCGCUAGUAAUCGUGGAUCAGAAUGCCACGGUGAAUACGUUCCCGGGCCUUGUACACACCGCCCGUCACACCAUGGGAGUGG